CUCAAUUCCAUGGCUGUGAGCACAAAGGCCAAAUGAAGUGCCAACUUAGGCAACUGUCUGAUUAACCUAAUCCAUCUACACUGAGUCAGGAGAAUUCAGACUUUUUUGUUGCCUACCAGAAGCUUUUAGUCACGCUAGAUUAUUUCAACUAUCCUAUUUUCUACUUAUUUAUUCUUAGGACAGCCAUUUUCUAAUUUUCUGUGUUGAUGUGAUGGAUCUGUCCAAGGCUCUACUGCAAGGCCAAACCUUGUGACCAAACCAUAGCAUCUUGACAGAUUCAAUUAGGUAAAGCAUCUUGGUUGAGUCCCCACAGCUGGUUGAUUGUCAACUGAGCCAACACGACAACCAGGGUUUCUAACUCUCAGAAAUAUCCCAGUGCCGGCCAGGCAUGGUGGCUCACGCCUGUAAUCCCAGCACUCUGGGAGGCCAAGGCAGGUGGAUCGCCUGAGGUCGGGAGUUCGAGACCAGUCCAGCCAAUAUGGUGAAACCCCAUCUCUACUAAAAAUACAAAAAUUAGCUGGGUGUGGUGGUGGGCACCUGUAAUCUCAGUUACUCUGGGCACCUGUAAUCUCAGUUACUCAGGAGGCUGAGGCAGGAGAAUCGCCUGAACCCAGGAGGUGGAGGUUGUGGUGCGCCGAGUUUGUGCCAUUGCACUCCAACCUGGGUAACAGGAGUGAAACUCUGUCUCAAAAAGAAAGAAAGGAGAAAGAGAGAGAGGAAGGAAGGAAGGAGGGAGGGAGAGAAGAAGAAGGAAGGAAGGAAGGAAGGAAGGAAGGAAGGAAGGAAGGAAGGAAGAUCCCAGUGCCAUCUGAUUUGGUUCUCCUUGUGAUUUUGUGAGAAAAAAGUGAUAUAAUGCCUCUGAGGACCAGCCCACACAGUGACUGGAGUAGGUGGUCAAACAAUGAGAAUCUUUAGUCUAAAGUCAACAAGCAAGUUCCAUAUUACUGGCAUAAACGAUUAACUUGGACAAGAAUCCAAGAUAGAAAAAUAAUUAUGAAUAAGUCUGCGCCCAGGUUUAUUUGAACUUGUUGGGUUCAUUGAGUCUGGCACUGCAUACCAAAAUUAUGAUCAACAACUCAGGAAAAUACUCAACUUGAAAGAGAUUAGUGAAUGUGGACUCGAAAGGUCUAAGACAGAGAAAGAAGUUGCUGUAGAACACUUUUGCAAAACAGUGGUCUCCAAAGAGCCAUGAAACAGCUUGCUGAUUUUUGAAUUUCUGGGUUUAUUACAAAUGACUACAUAAAAGCCGUGUGGUAAGAAACGAACUUCUGGUAACAGAUGGUGGAAAAUCACCAGUAAGACCCAAACCUAACAGAGACUGCUUCUGGAGCCAUGGUUCUCACUAAGGGUUAUUAGCAUCAUUCUUUGAUGAUGGGCAUUGAGGCAUCAGAACUCAUGGAUAUCACAGUUCCUGUGUGGAGAGGAAGCUUCAGAUGGUGCUCUUGCACAGACGGGACUGCCAUUCCCAUUUUAGUGGAUCUCUUAAAAGUUCGAAUGGCUCCUCUAAUGCCUGAUGUGAAUGGAACCUUUCUCUCUGCUUCAGUCAAGAAUCUGGUGACAAAGAAGCUUCAUCCUUUCAAUCUUACAAUUUCAAUCUCCUAUCUCAAGAAAGCUCAUUUCUAUGUAUUACCAGUGCAUCCUCCACAUGCUCUUCUGCAGUUGUUCCUUCUGCGGGAAAUGAUCUCUCCUUUUGUCGAGGCUUGGUGAAAUCCUUUGAAAUUCUGUUGAUUCUGUAAGAGCCAACACAAAUACCAACUGCCCUGAAUACUUUCUGGCUAAACUGCCACAAUGAACGAGGAUUCCUCACCCAUGUCCCUCCCUUUCCCUUCCUUUCUUUUUAUAAUGGUAUGCUUAUUGUUUUUUAAUGUAACAUUUUUCUUACAAAAGGAAUACACAUUCAGUGUUAAAAUGGAAAUGUAGAAAAGUCUUCAGAAGAAAAUAAAAAUCACCUGCAAAUCCAUUUCCUGAAGUAAUUAUUUUUGCUAAUGUUUUAUUACAAUAUAGCUCAUCCUCUUUCGCUGCCUCUUCCUCUUCUCUCUCCCUUCCUCCCUCCUUCCUGUCCUUCCUCUGUCUCUCCUUCCCUUUUUCUCUCUCUCUCUGGUUGCAGCAUCUCUGUUUUUUCUCUGUUUUUUUUUUUAAUCAAAUGUAUCGAGGUGUGACUUACAUUCAAUAAAAUGCACAGUUAGAUGAAUUUUGAAAAAUGUCAUAAUUCAUAUUACCAACAUCUCAAUCAAGAUAUAUAAUGCCUCCAUCACCCCAAAAAGGGACGGAUGAUGGACUCACUCAUGCUCCUCUGAAAAAAACCCUUUCCCAGCUCUCUGCC
This 2323-nucleotide long non-coding RNA is filed under the name Homo sapiens (human). Its description in RNAcentral is "HSALNT0299477". The record is from RNAcentral. Lineage: Eukaryota; Metazoa; Chordata; Mammalia; Primates; Hominidae.